Molecule: small RNA, 658 nt
Filed under: Pan troglodytes (chimpanzee)
Lineage: Eukaryota; Metazoa; Chordata; Mammalia; Primates; Hominidae
Description: retained intron
Source: RNAcentral
AGUUCUCUGUAGUGUUUGCCAAUGUUGGAGCCGUCUGCAAAGUGUCCCCGGCAAGAAGAGGCUGCCUACCACAAGGAAUUUAGCUUACUUUUUAAAGAUUGAAGAAAAAAAAGAAGACAGAAAAAGAAGAACUCAAAGAUACACAAAGUAAUUUGAACCAAGGCUCAGAAGUUUUUGGAGCCGUGAGGGAUACAGCAGUUUGGUCAAUAUUGUCUUAACAUGCUUCAAAUAAAUCAGAUGUUCUCAGUGCAGCUGAGUCUUGGUGAGCAGACAUGGGAAUCCGAAGGCAGCAGUAUAAAGAAGGCUCAACAGGCUGUUGCCAGUAAAGCUUUGACUGAAUCUACGCUUCCCAAACCAGUUCAGAAGCCACCCAAAAGUAAUGUUAACAAUAACCCAGGCAGUAUAACUCCAACUGUGGAACUGAAUGGGCUUGCUAUGAAAAGGGGAGAGCCUGCCAUCUACAGGCCAUUAGAUCCAAAGCCAUUCCCAAAUUAUAGAGCUAAUUACAACUUUCGGGGCAUGUACAAUCAGAGGUUUGUAUGUCUUUUUUGGUUUUGUUCUUAAUUAUUAUUUUAUCCAUGUUGUAAAAGUUUCUCACACUCUAAAGAGUAUUUUCAUUGUAAAUCUAAUUGACCUUGGGCAUUUUGCAUGGAAUUUA